Molecule: non-coding RNA, 24 nt
Filed under: Arabidopsis thaliana (thale cress)
Lineage: Eukaryota; Viridiplantae; Streptophyta; Magnoliopsida; Brassicales; Brassicaceae
Source: RNAcentral
AUAUUGCUGCCUGUAACACAUAUC